AGAAAACGAAGGGGUUCGUCCCCUUUAGUUCAUCCCCUUUAGGGGAACUAAAGGGGAUGAACCAAAGGGGAAGAAGUCCCCUUUAGUUCCCCUAAAGGGGUGAAAACGAAGGGGAAGAAGAAGGGGGUUCAUCUUCUUCGUUAUCACCAAAGGGGAAGACGAAGGGGUGUUCCUCCCCGAAGGGGAACUUCUUCAUCCCCUUUAGGGGAACUAAAGAAGACGGAGUCCCCUAAAGGGGAAGAAGGGGUGUUCCCCUUCUUCCCCUAAAGAAGACGGAGUCCCCUAAAGGGGAAGAAGGGGUUCCCCUUUGGGGAAGAAAACGAAGGGGUUCCCCUUUGGGGAAGAAAACGAAGGGGAAGAACCAAAGGGGUGUUCCUCCCCGAAGGGGAACUUCUUCAUCCCCUUUAGGGGAACUAAAGAAGACGGAGUCCCCUAAAGGGGAAGAAGGGGUUCCCCUAAAGGGGAAGAACUCCCCUACGGUUCCCCUUUAGGGGAUGAAGAAGNGGGUGUUCCCCUUCUUCCCCUAAAGGGGACGGAGACUUUGGUUCCCCUUUGGGGAAGAAGAAGAAGAGCACUAAAGUUCAUCCCCGAAGGGGAACAUCCCCUAAAGU
This 611-nucleotide long non-coding RNA is filed under the name Volvox carteri. Its description in RNAcentral is "long non-coding RNA (VCAR_LNC004148)". The record is from RNAcentral. Lineage: Eukaryota; Viridiplantae; Chlorophyta; Chlorophyceae; Chlamydomonadales; Volvocaceae.